GAUGUUCUUGUACUCCACGGUUUCAACAUUGAAUCCGAUGGUGGGGAUGGUGGUGACGAUCUCGCCGAGCUUGAGCUUGUAGAGGAUUGUGGUCUUUCCGGCCGCGUCAAGACCCACCAUCAGGAUCCGCAUCUCCUUCUUGGCGAAGAGCCGGCUGAAGAGCCUCGAGAACGACAGACCCAUCUCUCUCCCUCUGGAUCAGAAAUCCCGC
This 211-nucleotide unclassified non-coding RNA is filed under the name Hevea brasiliensis (rubber tree). Lineage: Eukaryota; Viridiplantae; Streptophyta; Magnoliopsida; Malpighiales; Euphorbiaceae. The record is from RNAcentral.